GAUGAACGCUGGCGGCGUGCUUAACACAUGCAAGUCGAACGGAAAGGCUCCUGCUUGCAGGGGUACUCGAGUGGCGAACGGGUGAGUAACACGUGGGUGAUCUGCCCUGCACUUCGGGAUAAGCCUGGGAAACUGGGUCUAAUACCGGAUAGGACGAUGGUUUGGAUGCCAUUGUGGAAAGUUUUUUCGGUGUGGGAUGAGCUCGCGGCCUAUCAGCUUGUUGGUGGGGUAAUGGCCUACCAAGGCGUCGACGGGUAGCCGGCCUGUGAGGGUGUACGACCACAUUAGGACUGAGAUACGGCCCAGACUCCUACGGGAGGCAGCAGUGGGGAAUAUUGCACCAUGGGCGGAAGCCUGAUGCAGCAACGCCGCGUGGGGGAUGACGGCCUUCGGGUUGUAAACUCCUUUCGCUAGUGACGAAGCGCAAGUGACGGUACCUGGGGAAGAAGCACCGGCUAACUACGUG
This 466-nucleotide ribosomal RNA is filed under the name uncultured bacterium. RNAcentral describes it as "partial 16S ribosomal RNA". It matches the Rfam family "Bacterial small subunit ribosomal RNA", at positions 28 to 507 of the family's 1533-position model. The record is from RNAcentral.